AAGAAGCUUCCUAAAAAGCCAAGAAAUUCAAACCCUUUUACUUUUUGUAGUUCAUAAUAUUAUUUUGUCUUAGUAUUGCAAUUGCAAGUAUGUAUUAUGGUAUAUAACUAUAUACCAAGCAAGUUGUCUGAGUCUACAAGAACAAGUUGUUUGACACAGUAGCACAAGAUUGUGUUAAAUUACAAAAAGGGUAAAACAGUGUGAUCCAUGCCAUUUUGUUCAGUUAGUCCCCACACGACAAAACAAUCUUCACCAUUGAAACAUAAUCUAUUGGAG
This 276-nucleotide long non-coding RNA is filed under the name Capsicum annuum. RNAcentral describes it as "long non-coding RNA (CANN_LNC016926)". Lineage: Eukaryota; Viridiplantae; Streptophyta; Magnoliopsida; Solanales; Solanaceae. The record is from RNAcentral.